Molecule: ribosomal RNA, 253 nt
Filed under: uncultured bacterium
Lineage: Bacteria
Description: partial 16S ribosomal RNA
Rfam family: Bacterial small subunit ribosomal RNA
Source: RNAcentral
UACGUAGGGCGCGAGCGUUGUCCGGAUUUAUUGGGCGUAAAGAGCUCGUAGGCGGCUUGUCGCGUCGUUCGUGAAAACCUGUGGCUCAACUACAGGCUUGCGGUCGAUACGGGCAGGCUGGAGUUCGGUAGGGGAGACUGGAAUUCCUGGUGUAGCGGUGAAAUGCGCAGAUAUCAGGAGGAACACCGGUGGCGAAGGCGGGUCUCUGGGCCGAUACUGACGCUGAGGAGCGAAAGCGUGGGGAGCGAACAGG